AUCGUAUAUUUGAUAGUACCUACUACAUGGAUAACCGUGGUAAUUCUAGAGCUAAUACAUGCUUAAAAUCCCGACUUCGGAAGGGAUGUAUUUAUUAGAUUAAAAACCAAUGCCCUUCGGGGCUCACUGGUGAUUCAUAAUAACUUCUCGAAUCGCAUGGCCUUGUGCCGGCGAUGGUUCAUUCAAAUUUCUGCCCUAUCAACUUUCGACGGCUGGGUCUUGGCCAGCCGUGGUUACAACGGGUAACGGAGGGUUAGGGCUUGACCCCGGAGAAGGAGCCUGAGAAACGGCUACUACAUCCAAGGAAGGCAGCAGGCGCGCAAAUUACCCAAUCCCGAUACGGGGAGGUAGUGACAAUAAAUACUGAUACAGGGCUCUUUUGGGUCUUGUAAUUGGAAUGAGUACAAUUUAAAUCCCUUAACGAGGAACAAUUGGAGGGCAAGUCUGGUGAGGAAAAGUACAAUGCUGCUUGCGCCAGAAAGAGUAUUAGGUAGAGAUAUCUAUCUACUGCUAGUCGAGCACCCGAUACAGCUGCGGGUGGGUGCCGGCGACACAACCUGGAUCGGGGAAGGCUAAGGGCUCAGCCUAUGCUAAUCCCGCGCGGAGUCUCAGUAGAGUGAUCUUCUGAAGACCCGUGUAGAGCGCGCCAAGGUGUGGGCUGCCCUGUGCUUGCACAGGCGGCUUAAGGGACGUGCCGACCACCGGGAAACCGGAUUCCUCCAUGGAGCACCCGCAAGUGCAAAGUAGGAGGACACCUUCCAGGGUACCUGGUACCUGUCGGGAGGUGGGGAGAACGCAGAUACUUGGUUUUCACUUCUGGGGGUAAUUCAGAAUCAAUUGAAUUCCAAAGUGAUCUCUUUUCGGCCAGCAGCCGCGGUAAUUCCAGCUCCAAUAGCGUAUAUUAAAGUUGUUGCAGUUAAAAAGCUCGUAGUUGAACCUUGGGCCUGGCUGGCCGGUCUGCCUCACCGCAUGCACUGGUCCGGCCGGGCCUUUCCCUCUGGGGAGCCGCAUGCCCUUCACUGGGUGUGUCGGGGAACCAGGACUUUUACUGUGAAAAAAUUAGAGUGUUCAAAGCAGGCCUAUGCUCGAAUACAUUAGCAUGGAAUAAUAGAAUAGGACGUUGCGGUUCUAUUUUGUUGGUUUCUAGGACCGCCGUAAUGAUUAAUAGGGACAGUCGGGGGCAUCAGUAUUCAAUCGUCAGAGGUGAAAUUCUUGGAUCGAUUGAAGACUAACUACUGCGAAAGCAUUUGCCAAGGAUGUUUUCAUUAAUCAGGAACGAAAGUUAGGGGAUCGAAAACGAUCAGAUACCGUUGUAGUCUUAACCAUAAACUAUGCCGACUAGGGAUCGGGCGAUGUUUUUCUUUGACUCG
RNAcentral lists this ribosomal RNA (1370 nucleotides) under Chrysoporthe austroafricana. RNAcentral's name for it is "SSU rRNA". It matches the Rfam family "Eukaryotic small subunit ribosomal RNA", at positions 112 to 1078 of the family's 1831-position model. The record is from RNAcentral. Lineage: Eukaryota; Fungi; Ascomycota; Sordariomycetes; Diaporthales; Cryphonectriaceae.